GAUGAACGCUGGCGGCGUGCCUAAUACAUGCAAGUCGAGCGAACAGACGAGGAGCUUGCUCCUCUGACGUUAGCGGCGGCCGGGUGAGUAACACGUGGAUAACCUCCCUAUACGACUGGGAUAACUUCGGGAAACCGGAGCUAAUACCGGAUAAUAUAUUGAACCGCAUGGAUCAAUAGUGAAAGACGGUUUUGCUGUCACUUAUAGAUGGAUCCGCGCCGCAUUAGCUAGUUGGUGAGGUAACGGCUUACCAAGGCAACGAUGCGUAGCCGACCUGAGAGGGUGGUCGGCCGCACUGGAACUGAUGCGCGGCCCACACGACUACGGGAGGCAGCAGUAGGGAAUCUUCCGCAAUGGGCGAAAGCCUGACGGAGCAACGCCGCGUGAGUGAUGAAGGUCUUCGGAUCGUAGAGCUCUGUUAUUAGGGAAGAACAAAUGUGUAAGUAACUAUGCACGUCUUGACGGUACCUAAUCAGAAAGCCACGGCUAACUACGUG
RNAcentral lists this ribosomal RNA (497 nucleotides) under uncultured bacterium. RNAcentral's name for it is "partial 16S ribosomal RNA". It matches the Rfam family "Bacterial small subunit ribosomal RNA", at positions 28 to 507 of the family's 1533-position model. The record is from RNAcentral.